RNAcentral lists this unclassified non-coding RNA (188 nucleotides) under uncultured Basidiomycota. RNAcentral describes it as "sequence contains ITS1". Lineage: Eukaryota; Fungi; Basidiomycota. The record is from RNAcentral.
AUGAAUGAAUGUAGAGUCGGUUGUAGCUGGCCUCCCCGAGGCAUGUGCACGCCUUCUCUUUCAUCCACACACCCCUGUGCACUUGUGAGACGGAGGCGUUUUCCUUUAAUCGGGAUGGCCUCCGUCUGCUAUCACAUAAAAUCUAAUUUAUUUAAAACUGAAUGUAAUUGAUGUAACGCAUCUAAUAC